CAUGGAUGGGGAAACUAGGGAAGGAAAUGACAUUUGAAAUGUAAAUAAAACAUACCCAAUUUACAAAAAGGAAUAGUGAUGGAGCUGCAGGUUGAGAAGACUCCUUUAGAAGAUGAUAGAAACCUGAGUUUUGGAAAAUGAGGAGAGCUGGCUGAGUGAGGAGAGGGGAGAGGGAGAUGAUCUCAACCAGACAUGCUCUAAUCAUCAUGAAAUAAGAUUUUAUUCUUCAGCUGGAAUUACUUAAUCCUAAACAUGCUAUGAGUACUUCCUGAUGGUUCCCCUCAGUUUUAAAGAAUUAGAUAUUAAGCAAACUCCACUUUAUCUAAGUGAAAUUUUUUUACAGGUUUCAAUAGAUGGGAUACUCUGUUCAUCCUGUGGAAUCUAUAGACUGGAAAUGUGGGAGAGAACAAAUACAUCUAAACACAUCAUAAAUAAGGUUUCCAUUACCAUCCUGAACAAGGUAUUUAUAAAUAAGGUCUUAAUGAAUCCUUGGAAAUUAUUCACUGAUAUUACUUUUUUUUAAGGAUUUACUUAUUUAUCAUCUAUAAGUACACUGUCAUUGUCAUCACACACAUCAGAAGAGGGCAUCAGAUCCCAUUACAGAUGGUUGUGAGCCACCAUGUGGUUGCUGGGAAUUGAACUCAGGACCUCUGGAAAAGCAGUCAGUGCUCUUAACCACUGAGCCACAUCUCCAGCCCAUUCACUGAUAUUUCUAUGUGCAAGAGAAACAUAUAGUUAGUCGUAAAGUCUGCCCAAAGUGACAAGGACAGUAGGUGAAAGACCUGUAUUUGUCUAAUCUGAAAGCUUUGAUUGAGGAAAUGAAAACAAAAACAGUAAAAAAUAAAAAUAAAAAUAAAAAAGGAAAUUAGUGUUGUUGGACAGAGGACGGGAUCCCUCAACUCCUGUAUUUAUUGAGAACCUACUGUGACAAGCUAGCCUGGGCAUGGUAGAGUACACCUUUAACCUCUUCACUCUGAAGGCUGAGGAAAGUUUAUCUCUGGGUUUGCGGCCAGUCAUCUCUACAGAGCAAGUACUAGGACAGCCAAGGCUAAGCAGUGGAACUGACUUCCUCUCACACCAGGCAAAGACAUGGUGCAAAGACAUGACAUGCAUCCAAACAAAUACACACAUAAAAGAGGAGACCUGUACUGAGGACCGGAGGCAGCGAUGGUCACAGGACUUGAUGCAUUGGUAGAAGACAUAGGUUAAGUUCCUAACACCCGAAUACCUAUAAACAGGCACACAAAUGAAGCCAGCUGAGUAGUGGACCCACACCUUUAAUCCAACACAGGAAUGACUGAGGCAGGAGGACCUCUGUGAAUCAAGGCCAGCCUGGUCUACAGAGUGAGUUCCAAGACAGUCAGGGCUACACAGAAACCCUGUCAGGAAUGUAAAAACAAAAUGGGGAACAGGAGAAAAAUACAGAGGAAGCAGAGGAAAAGCAGGAGGAGGAAAAGCAGGAGGAGGAAAAGCAGGAGGAGGAAAAGCAGGAGGAGGAGGAAGCAGAGGCCUGUGCAACAUAAGCUACAAAAAGAGCUGCAAAUCUUCUCUAGGCAGCUGUGAAUUAGACUGCAUUGUCUGGUGCAUGGCCCACCGGAACAGAAAGGGAGAAAUCUGUCCGUGAGGUUGUUUCAACUCCCCCACCCCAACCUGACAAAGUUAGAGUAAUUUUGGUGAGAGAAUGACUGGCAGACAAGCAAACCUGUGGGCCAUUUCUUCAUUAAUACUGGAAGUGGGUGGGCUUAGCUUGGUGUGAGAGGAGCCAGUGCAACCUCUGGGCAGGUGGUCCUGAGUUUUACAGGACAGUAGGUUGAGCAAGCUAUGAGAAGGAAGCCAGUAAUAGCAUUUCUUUGUGGCCUGCUUCAGUUUGGGUGUCCUUGGGUUCCUGCCUUGACUUCCUGACUUGUUUUCUCUUCAUGAAGGACUACAAUUGUGAGAUGAUAAACCCUUCCUCCAUGGGUUGAUUUUGUCAUGGUGUGUUAUUACCACACAUCAUAGCAAUUGAACCUAGCCAAGAGAGACACCCACCCCUGUUCACAAAUCAGUCCCUCCUUGGUCUGUGUGGAGUCAGAGCUCAGGUUCCAAAUCUAGGCAAAAUGUAACGCAAAACCCAUGAUGCACUUCCCAGGAUUCUCCCCAAUAGAUGGUAAGUUAGUUCGAUCUUCCUGGCUUCAAAUUGGAGUGCCCAUGGAUAACACAACUCAGAGGCACAAACCAGGGCCAUUCCUCUUUAAUGAACCACACAUUUGCGAAGGCCAAGGAGGCUCAGGAGCAGCCAUCCUAGUUCCUAUUACAUCUGCACAAGAAAGGACACUCUUGGGAUUCUUUGAAUCUAGAGCAGGAGACAUGAUUUCAGGACAGAAGAGUACUUAACAACACUUCUCAGGAAUAUAAAAGAGGGAAAAUAAGACUGAGAGAGUCACAUACAGCAGCAAUCCCGGACUAUACUCUUCUCAGUCUGUCUGAGGCAGAGAUCACACUGCAGACUGGGCCCUGACUGGGAAGUGAUUGGAAAAGGAUGGUAGACAAGGCUAGCUCUGGGCUCUCUGUGUUUGCCACAUUUGUGAAGAGGGAGGAAUUGCAUACCCAGCCAGCUCAAGUGCGGUGUCAUAGGCACCCAGUGGCACUGAUCAUACCUAGCUAUCCUGAUGAAAUGUACUCAGAAGGGAGUUGUCAUUGAGGUCAGUAUGAAAUAACAAACCUCAAGGGAGAGCCCAUCAUCUGUGCAGCCAUAUGAACACCAGUGUGGUCCUGCCUUGAGAGAGAAGAUUUAUAAAGGACCUGACUUCUACAAGGACAAGCUACAGGUUAUACAAUCCCAAGUAACCGCAGUCAAUACACACACACACACACACACACACACACACACACACACACACAUACCUUGUUUCUUCUCUUUCUAUGCCUGCAAAAUAACAAACAAAAACAGUUAUCCUGUGCAUGAGAUAUGGCCCAAUGAUUAAGAGCACUGAGUGCUUUUCCAAAGGUCCUGAGUUCAAUUCCCAUCGACCACAUGGUGGCUCACAAUCAUCUGGAACAGGAUCUGAUGACCUCUUCUGGUGUGUCAUACAAACCCCUUGUAUCUCGUCAGACCACCAUGGAUUUAAAUCUGCACUUCAGAGAAGAGAAACAGAAAGCCUACACACUCUUGGAAUCAGAACAACUCUCUACUCAAUGGUCUGUGGGUCAGGGUAGAAAUACAGAAAGAAAUUAAAGACUUUCUAGAAUUUAAUCAAAAUGAAGUCAACACCUACCCAAAUUAAUGACAAAAAAGUGGUCCUAAGAGGAAAGUUCAUAAUAAUUUGCCUACAUAAAAGAAUCAGAAAGUCCCCAUAUCAGAAAUUAAAAAGUCAUAUUAGAGUUCUCUAGAGUCACAGAACUUGUGGAAUGUCUUUAUAUAUUAAGGGAAUUAAUUACAAUGACUUACAAUCAGUAUUCCAACUAACCCAACAAUGGGCAGCUGUGAUGGGAAAUCCAAAAGUCCAGCAGUUUCAGCUGGUCUUCUGGAGAAGCUGCAAUCCUGGCCAGAUAGGUUCCAACAGAUGUGCUCGCAAGUAAGUGCAAGCAGGCAAAGAGUGAAUCCUCCUUCUUCCAAUGUCUUCAUAUAGGUCUCUAGCAGACAGUGUGGCUCAGAUUAAAGGUGUGUAACCCCAUGCCUGGAUCUGGAACUUCAUUUUGUCAGAAGUUGAUCUUAAACUCAGAAAUCUGACUGCCUCAGACUCCUAGGAUUAAAGCUGUGUACUACUUUGCCUGUGGCUAACCUUUUCAAGGCCACUAUCCUUCCAGAACUCCCUGUUGAGAUCUGGGGCACAGGUGUGCCCUCAUUACCAGAUGUAGUUUAUUCCAGAUGUAGUCAAGUUGACAGCCAGGAGUAGCUAUCACAAAGUACACCUGAAAGUUCUAGGGAAAAAAGGAAGAAGCAAACUCACAAAAGGGGAGAAAAUGCAGGAAAUUAUAGAAACCAUGGCUGGAAUCAAUCAGUUAGAAAGAAAGAAAACAAUUCAAAGAAUCAACCAAACCAAGACCUGGUUCUUUGAGAAAAUCAACAAGAUAAACAAACCCUUAGCCAAACUAACUGAUAGCUAGAUAGAUAGAUAGAUAGAUAGAUAGAUAGAUAGAUAGAUAGAUAGAUAGAUAGAUACAUAGAUAGAUACAUAGAUAGAUACAUAGAUAGAUACAUAGAUAGAUACAUAGAUAGAUACAUAGAUAGAUAGAUACAUAAUAGAUAGAUAAAUAGAUAGAUAGAUAGAUAGAUACAUAGAUAGAUAGAUACAUAGAUAGAUAGAUAGAUAGAUACAUAGAUAGAUAGAUACAUAGAUAGACAGACAGAUAGAGAAUCCACAUUAACAAAACCAGUAAGGAGAAGGGAGGCUCAGCAACUGACACUGAGGGACUUCAUAGAAUCAGUAGAUUUUACUUCAAAAACUUCUACUCCACGAAAUUGGAAAAUCUGAACGAAAUGGAACCUUUUCUAGAUAGAUACCACUUACCAAAGUUAAAUCAAGUUCAGGUAAACCAUUUGAACAGCCCCACAACCCUUGAAGAAGAAGUAGCAGUCAUUAAAAUCUCCCAACCAAAAAGGCACAGGGCCAGAUGGUUUUGUUAGAGAAUUCUACCAGAUUUUCUAAGGAAAGCUAAUUUCAAUACUCCUCAAAUUAUUCCAUAAAAUAAAAGCUGAAGGAACACUGCCAAACUCAUUCAGAGAGGGCACAGUGACCGUGAUGUCUAAACUACACUAAGCCGCCACAAAGAAAGAGAACGUCAGACCAAUUCCUCUCAUGAACGUUGAUACCAAAAUACUCAAUAAAGUCCUCACAGACUGAAUCCAGGAACAUAUCAAAAAAUCAUCAGGAUGAAGGAAGCUUCAUCCCAUGCAUGCAUCGAUGAUUCCUUAUAUGAAAAUUCAUCAACACAGCCCAUGAUAAAGACAAACUGAGAGUAAACAUAUCACGUGGUUAUCUCAUUAGAUGCUAAAAAGAGCUUUGAUAAAAACCCAACACCCCUUCAUGGUAAAAAUAUUAGAGAAAUCAGGGAUACAGGGCACAUAUGUAAACACAAUCAAAACAAUAUACAACAAGCCAAUAGCCAACAUCAAACUAAAGGGAGAGAAACUGUCAGAAACCACCCAGGGAGAGUGCAUCAGUAGGGGCCAAGGCUUGGAUUUUAGGUGGAGAAUGGAUUUGGCUUGACAGGCAGACACAAAUCUGAGAUAUGUGUUGUUGUAAAAAGUUUUAUUUUUUUGGCACAGACUUAUAUGGUCAAAACAGGAAUAUCAUACUUGGCGAUAUUUAUUACCCCAUCAGAUGUCUCUUGUACAAAGGAAACUGAGCAUACAGUCUAGGAGUUUUUAGUCGCAGAUAAUAGUGUAGAAGACUGUGGUUAUAAUGUCGGACUUGUGGGCAUCAGAUGUACAUUCAAUACUUACCUUUGUUUGGAUAAAGUUUAAACUUUAUGUUUAUGGCCCCUCAGGAUAAUUUGGAAACUUUUGUAACCAUUUCAUGGUUUUCUUCAUUUCCUAUGGUCUUCUAAAAAGAUUAGACCACCUUCUCUUAGACAAAGCAAUCGUUCUAUACACAGCCUAUUGAUUCUCAAGCCUCUCUUCUUGUGAGAGCGCCCACCACAGAGGUCAAGUCCUCCUAAGUCUUUCCCAGUAACCAAGCUCAAUAUACUUUGUCUUCUUACUGUUUACCACUACUCACCUUGUCAAAUCUAUGUCAUAAGUCCCCAUCCGUGGGAAUGGUGCAUCUGUAGGUUUAUAAUAAUAAGGAUCUCUAUAUCUAGGGGCCUGCCACCAUUGUCCACUAAUUUUAAUAAACAAGACUCCAUUCUCCAGUUUAGUCUCUAACCCUAAUUUUUGUAAUUACUUUUUGUUCAAUGAUAGUUCUUCUUUUUCUUUUAGUUAAUUCUUGAUAACUUUGCUCAACUCGCUGAACCUGUCUUUCCAAAAAAGUCACUACUAUUCUGAAUCAUGCUAAACAAAACUUUUCCCAAAAAGGGGGAAAAGACUUUUUGGAACAGUCAUGCUCUUAAUAGCUUUAAUUAACUUCUCUCCUAUUUAUUGAGAACUAAUGGGUGCAGCAGUUGAUGGUGUGAGAUGUUUCCGUCUCUGGACUUGUAGUUCCUGGAACAUCUAAAGAUACAUGACCAUCUUUCCACACUGCUAUAUUCUUAGAUUUAGAUAUUGUUGACAGGCUUAAAGUUGUUGAGAUCACCAAGGCCAGAACAUAGAAGGUACCUCCACUGAAAGCAUAGACCCAGGUCAUCAUCUUUUUGUAGGGAGACUCCAGGACCUCCAGGAGGCCGAGCCAUUCCAGGCACAGGCCUCUGUUCUGGACAGAAACGAAACACUAAGAACUUCAUGUCACAAGACUCCACUGGAGUGGGUGUGGCAAGAAAUUUAAACCAUUUCCAUUAAAAUCAGGGAGGAGACAAGGCUGCCCACUCUGUCCCUAUCUCUUCAAUGAUAUAAUAGAGCUUCUACACAGAACAAUAACACAACUAAAAGAGAUCAAGAGGACACACAUAAAAGGAAGAAGUCAAAGCAUUGCUAUUUGUGGAUGACCCCCAAAAUUUGUAGAACUCCUACAGCUGAUAACAACUUAAGGAAAGUGUCUAGAUUCAAAAUUAACAAAAAACAAACAAACAAACAAACAAAAACCCAAAAGACCAGAAGCCCUCAUGAGAAAUAGGCCAAUGAAGAAAUUAGAGAAAUGUCACACUUUAAAAUAACCAGGAAUAAUAUAAAAUAUCUUGGUGUAAUUCUAAGCAACCAAGUAAAAGAUCUGUAUGACAAGAACCUCAAGUCCCAGAAGAAAGAACUUGAACACGAUAUCUGAAGAUGCAGAGAUCUCCCAUGCUCAUGGAGAUAUAGGAUUCACAUAGUGAAACUGGCCAUCUUACCAAAAGCAAUCUACACAUUCAUGCAAUCCCCAUCAAAAUUCCAACAAAAUUCUUAUAGAACCUGAAAGAGCAAUUCUCAACUUCAUUUGGAAAAACAAAAAACCCAGGAUAGUCAAAAGAAUCCUGAACAAUAAAAGAAUUUUGGGAGGAAUCACCAUCCCUGACCUCAAUCUGUGCUACUGGGUAAUAGAGAUAAAACCCCACAGGGUAUAAGAAUUAAAGAACCAGAAAUAAACCACACAUCUAUGGACAUUGGGUAUUGAUAAAAAAGCCAAAACCAUUCAAUGGAAAACAAUCAAAGCAUCUACAAAAAAUGGUGUUGGCUAACUGGAUGUCCACCUGUAGAUGAAUGAAAAUAGAUCCAUAUUUGUUAUCCUGCACACAACUAUAGUCCAAGGACCUCAAUAUAAAAUUGGAUGCACUAAGUCUCAUAGAAGAGAUAGUGGGAAAUACCCUUGAAAGCAUUGCUACAGGAGACAAGUUCCUGAAUGGAAUACCAAGGACUCAGAAUCCAAGAUCAACAAUUGAUAAAUGGGACUUCAUGAAACUGAAAAGCUUUGUAAGGCAAAGGACACUGUCAAUAGAACAAAUCGGUAGCCCACAGAUUAGGAAAGGAUCUUCAACACUCUUCAUCUGACAGAGGGCUAACGUCAAAAAUGGAGAAGUAACAUAAGAAGUUAGACUCCAGCAACCCAAGUAAUUGAACAAAAAAUGUGGUACAGAACUAAACCGACAGUUAUCAACAGAGGAAUCUCCAAUGGUCCAGGUGAGCCUGGGAUGCAGGCACCCGUGGUCUCCACGUCCGGAUACAGCUUGUAAGAUUGAUUUCUGUGUUUCUCCAACUGACUCAAGUGGACAAAGUACCAGGAUUUUCCUGCCUUAGGCAAUCUCCGUACCGCUCAUCCUUACUGUAUCCUUCUUGUCUAACGACGGUUCCAGUCAUCCUGGAUGUGAAGAUGAAUCAGCUGGUCAUCUCCUGCUUCUGUGUAAGCGCGCAUCCAGAGGCUCAGCGUUUCUGGUCCUGGGUGGUGGGAAGUGCUUCAGCAGAGCCAGGGCAGAGACUUCUGGGCAGAGUGGAUUUGUGUGUGAAAAUAGACUUCUGAGUCUCUUGGGCUGAAUGUUUGGAAUGUACUGAGGUCUUUUAGCCUAGGCCUUAGCCUGUACACUUCUCCUACCAGAGCCCUGAUCUACAGUGCAGACUCUUCUUGGUGCUUCAAGGUCCACACAGUACCAGUUGGUCUGCAGAUCUUUUUCCGGCUAAUGGCUUCAAUAUGUCCUCUGUCGUGGCAAAGUUUGGGUUUGGUUCUAGGAAUGAUAGAAAUUUUAUUGUCUUCUCUGAGCUUUCUUAGAGAUUUUAGUCCCUGCCACUAUUUGUGUUGGGCUGGGUAAAGAAGAUGUUGUCAAUAGCAAUGAGGGUUCAGCCCUCUCUUCCCCGUGUAAAAUAUUUUUAAGUGCAGAGCUGGCUGGCUGCCAGGCUGUAGUUGGGAAAACUGAAACAAAAAAACCUCUUCAGGAGCCACAAACUAGGCUCUCCCUGGUGUGAGUACAGUUUAUGCCAAAGAACAAAGUUUGUGGUCGGUGAGAUUGAAAGGUGCUUUGAAUGAAUCAGUUAAACUAGCAAAAAGCCCAGACUUCUGCGGUCACAACCUAAAGAAACAGCCUUUGGCCUCUGCCUUCCUAGCUGGUCCCAGGAGAAAUUUCCUACCUGUGCGCCUCUUAGGGAAUCUCACCCCAGGCUUGUGGCAGCCUCUGUCUGGAAAAAUCUAUUCUGGCAGAGCACAGAGCUAGCUCAGCUCCUCCCUUCUUUCCUAGACUCAGCAGAGGAGGACCCUGUUCGCUAUGGUGCCAACAACUGUGAGCAGCAGCCAAGGCAGGGGAGCCUGGGGGUGCGGAUCCUCUCCAGGAGAUCUAACAGAACUGCAAGUCUUCUCCACCAGCAGAUGGCGACUGAUAGACCACGCUAGAACAAGCCUUGCUUCAAGACCGAGGUCUGCGCAUGCUCCUUGAACACCAGGCUGCGGGCUGUUCCAGAUGUAUGCUAGAGUAAACAGCAUUGCAUUACUUCCCCGGUGUCCUCAUUUGGGACCUGAACCUCUGGUUUCUUGCUUCCAGGACAGAAGGGAGGAGCCAAGCUGACAGGAUUGCUGUGUUCUCUGCAAGAAUCAGUUGCCCAAGAUGCAGCUGUCACCUGAUUAUAAAUCUCCUAACACCUGGGGAGCAAGGCACAGGCCAUGGAUGAAGAUUUUCCCGGGUGGGGACACAAACAGGCUGAGCCUCUCCUGUUCUCCCUGGUCUAUCAACCUCACAGGCAGGUAACUGGCUCCACAGCACAAACAGCUUUCAGCAGGGGGAGGUAAAGAGAUAAGGGCGUCUUUCUCAAUUUCUCUGUUUCAGUUUCUCUGUGGUACACAGUUUAGGACAACUGUGCCUGCUUAGCGGCUUGGUGCGCUGGGGCAAGACCUUCUGCAGCCAGCUGGCUCUGCAUUUUAAAAGUCUCCCAGGCACUUAAAUCAGCCAAUCCUGGUUUGGCAACCACCACCCACCCUCCAAAAAUCACAAGCACGCUGGGGUUGGGGUGGGGAACAGUAUAAAUGUGUCAUUCCUAAAAACAGAAAGUAAAUGUUCCCACAGAAGAGGAAAUGGAGAGUCUGUCAGCAGCCAGGAAAAGGAAACCUAAGGCAGAUCAUGGCUGAGCAGAUGUAGAAGAGCCUAGACAAUUCAGUCACUGCAGGGUGAGGGCUGCUGGAUCACUGGGGAAGGUACUGGUCUGGCUUCUGAGUACUUGGGACAGGGCUCCCUGAGGAUGACCUCGUGCUGGUCCUGAUUGGACCUGGAUUUCCAGAGGACUGGAGUUCAUCUGCAUCCUGUCGGCCACAGUCAGGGAGUGGCUAAAAACACACAGACAAGCCCAGACACCACUGAGCUGCCUCCCUUCUAGCUGUGCUGGCCCUGGUCACCCUGACACCUUAAAACUGCCUGCAUUGAGCAAAGGGAAUUUCCCCUGCUGGCUCAGAAAUCUUGCAGAAACCUGGAGGCCCGGCUAAAGAGGACCUUGUGGCCAUUUACUGACAGAAAUCUGCCCCACCCAGAAGCAGCUGAUCUUGUUCUGAGACCAUAGCAGCGAGGAGCCUUUGAUCUCCAUCCUGGAUGAAUGUUAAUUCCAGAUAGAAGCCAUCCUUAGAUGGGAUGGGUGGUGGGUGUGUGGACGGCAGAUACAGAAAGGGGAUGACAGGAAGACCAACAGCAAUCCAGGCAGCAAAGCCUUGUAGUUGUCUGUAUGAGUCAGGACUACACAUAACGGGGCAAUCACACUCCGGGAUGCGUCCAGACCUGGAGACAUGUGGAACCCUCUGGUCAGGUUAUGGCUAUCCCUGCUCACCAAGUCUGGCAACUCAACAUCCAGCAGUGCCCUUGCACUAGUUAAGAAAAAGCAACUGAAUUUGCAAAAGGGAGCUGCAAUGUUGGCUGAAUGUAAGCAGCAGCAGAAUCAAUCCCAUCACUGCCAAGACACAGUUGCUGAUGCAGGAUUCUGAACUUCAGAGGAAACAAAGUAAUUCUCCCUGUGGAGACAUUGAACCUGAUCAAAGAAGCUUUGAGGAGAGAAUGAGGCUGAGAGCAGAACUGCACCAGGCCAUUCAGAAAGGGUAUCUUGAAGAGAACUCCUGGAGUUUGGUUGUAAAGCAAGGCGUGGAACCAGAAAUAACCUGAGAACUUGCUGGUGUUGCAGUCUUCCAAGAGCUGCAAGAAAUAUCCGGGUACCCAGAGGUGGUAGUGAAACUACAGCACCUCGAACACAUGCACCCUGAUUGUAAUUGAUAGCUAUAAGCAUGGAAGAUUUGUCAUUCUUUAUAAAUAUGUUGUUUCAUUCA
Molecule: non-coding RNA, 10769 nt
Organism: Rattus norvegicus (Norway rat)
Lineage: Eukaryota; Metazoa; Chordata; Mammalia; Rodentia; Muridae
Source: RefSeq, a predicted model, not a curated record